GUGCAGCAGGCGAGAAAACUUCACAAUGUGCGAAAGCACGAUGAGGGAAUCCCAAGUGCUUGCACGUAAGUGUAAGCUGUUUCUCUGUCUAAAACGCAGAGAGAGUAAGGGCUGGGUAAGACGGGUGCCAGCCGCCGCGGUAAUACCUGCAGCUCGAGUGGUGACCGUUAUUAUUGGGCCUAAAACGUCCGUAGCCGGUUUAAUAAAUGCCUGGGUAAAUCGGACCGCUUAACGGUUCGAAUUCCGGGUAGACUGUUAAACUUGAGACCGGGAGAAGUUAGAGGUACUCCUGGGGUAGAGGUGAAAUUCUGUAAUCCUAGGGGGACCACCAGUGGCGAAGGCGUCUAACUAGAACGGGUCUGACGGUGAGGGACGAAGCCCUGGGGCGC
This 389-nucleotide ribosomal RNA is filed under the name uncultured microorganism. RNAcentral describes it as "bacterial SSU rRNA". It matches the Rfam family "Archaeal small subunit ribosomal RNA", at positions 330 to 720 of the family's 1478-position model. The record is from RNAcentral.